CUGCCCUUUGUACACACCGCCCGUCGCUACUACCGAUUGAAUGGCUCAGUGAGGCGUCCGGACUGGCCCAGAGAGGUGGGCAACUACCACUCAGGGCCGGAAAGCUCUCCAAACUCGGUCAUUUAGAGGAAGUAAAAGUCGUAACAAGGUCUCCGUUGGUGAACCAGCGGAGGGAUCAUUACCGAGUUUACAACUCCCAAACCCCUGUGAACAUACCACUUGUUGCCUCGGCGGAUCAGCCCGCUCCCGGUAAAACGGGACGGCCCGCCAGAGGACCCCUAAACUCUGUUUCUAUAUGUAACUUCUGAGUAAAACCAUAAAUAAAUCAAAACUUUCAACAACGGAUCUCUUGGUUCUGGCAUCGAUGAAGAACGCAGCAAAAUGCGAUAAGUAAUGUGAAUUGCAGAAUUCAGUGAAUCAUCGAAUCUUUGAACGCACAUUGCGCCCGCCAGUAUUCUGGCGGGCAUGCCUGUUCGAGCGUCAUUUCAACCCUCAAGCACAGCUUGGUGUUGGGACUCGCGUUAAUUCGCGUUCCCCAAAUUGAUUGGCGGUCACGUCGAGCUUCCAUAGCGUAGUAGUAAAACCCUCGUUACUGGUAAUCGUCGCGGCCACGCCGUUAAACCCCAACUUCUGAAUGUGACCUCGGAUCAGGUAGGAAUACCCGCUGAACUUAAG
Molecule: ribosomal RNA, 675 nt
Filed under: Fusarium oxysporum
Lineage: Eukaryota; Fungi; Ascomycota; Sordariomycetes; Hypocreales; Nectriaceae
Description: eukaryotic LSU rRNA
Rfam family: Eukaryotic small subunit ribosomal RNA (bases 1-181)
Source: RNAcentral